This 2489-nucleotide long non-coding RNA is filed under the name Lepisosteus oculatus (spotted gar). RNAcentral's name for it is "lncRNA (ENSLOCG00000022203.1)". Lineage: Eukaryota; Metazoa; Chordata; Actinopteri; Semionotiformes; Lepisosteidae. The record is from RNAcentral.
GUUGCUUGGGAACCAUGUUCACAAAGCUGAUUCCAGGGCAGCAGGUUACACGGAUAGUGUUUACGUUUCUUUUUUUCCUUCAUUGUCAGAUCAUACUCAAAUGCCUUCUUAAAACGUUAUAACAAAAAAAAAAACAGUACGUUAAGACAAAAGAUGAGUGAAUGUUUAAUGUGCAGUGGCUUUCAGUCAACUUCAGUAAGGAGUGAAGGGCACACUGCUUACUGUCAUGUGUUUGGAAGUCACUAUCAAGAGAGCUUAGUCAAGCUGAUAUGGAAAUAUUUGGAUUUGGAUCCGCAUCAUAAAUUGCUCUACAUGGGAGAAGAUGGGGAACACCUGAUUCCAGCCCUGGAGAAGACUUUGGUACUUUUACAUCCAGUGUUGUGGGGAGAGACUGCUGAUCCCAAAGAGAUUAACAGUGACAUCGAAGGGUUACAACACCUAAAGAAAGGCAGUUUUGACAAGGCUUUGCUUGUCAAUGCCUUGCCGUAUUUAGAGAGCCCAUCGCAGAUGUUCAAAAAAGUCUUCAGUUUACUGAGUAAGUCUGGUGCAGCUCUCCUGAUUCACCGUCCUGCACCGGUGACAACGCUUCCUUUCUUCAGGAAAGCCAAAGACAAGAUGGGAGAACAGGAUUAUCCCUUUGAGAAAAUCUUUGAGAGUCUGAGGUUAGUUGAAGCCGAGCUGGAGUGGGAACUAGAAUCUGUUCCAGUAAAAAUGAGAAAGGAAGAAUGGCUUUCUUUGCUGGGAAGGAAGUGUGUGCCCAUGCUGCAGUGUCUAAGUGGUCAGGAUAUUACUACGGGACUACAGGAGCUAAGAGAAGGGUGCCUCAAAUACUCUGAGGACACUCUGUGCUUUGAGGACACACUGCUGUUCAUCGUCGCUCACAAAGGGCAAGCGAGCCGCGCUGUGGGUCCCGUAAUCCAGCGCUCCGGUCGGACUCACCUGCUUGCUCACGGGCCUGAGGAUGUGACGUAUAGAUUACCGCUGGCUGAAGACAUGGUCAAAUACCUGAGGUCACCCCUCCAAGCACAUCUAUCAUCUUAAAGGUCCGUUUAAUAUGUAAACAAAUUACUUUUACUAUUUUACUUCAUCAAUAAAAUAAUAAAAACACGUACCCCUUUUUGUGGUUCUGUGGCAUUACAGGGCUUCUUUGACAGUGAAUGUAAUUGAAAAGGGCAAAGGUUAAAUAUUAUAUGUUUCUACCACAUUUCACGAAUUGAAAGAAACUAUUGCUGCACAGACAAUAUAAUUUAUAAAUCGAUGGCUGAUUGAAUUACUCAUAUUUUUCGACGCAUUCUGCGAUAUGUAUUACUCAUAGAAACCAGACAGUCUGGAUACUAAUAAAACAGCAAUUAACUGCAGUGCUUUCUGACUGAAGUGAAUGGGUAUUGACCUUUGUUUGACAGCCUGUUGGGUUAAAGUGUUUAGACAAAUGAAUUCACUGUAGUCACAGUAGUCUUUUAUAAUGAUUAGCUCAUUCUGUCUGCUUUCCUUAACCUUUUUAUUCCGCAGCAAAGGAAACUAUACUUUUGUAUGAUCCUGUCCAAGAACACCUGGUGUUGUAAAUGUUGCAUAAGUGAUAAAUAACACCCGUUCAGUCUCUGUUUCACUCUAAUAAAAAUGAAAUUGCUUCAAACUUGCCAUGUCUAAAUUAACCAAGGUCCAGCAGUGCACUGAACAAUACACAUCGUAGUCAUUCGUUCAGAUCUUUCCUGCUUCUGGUAUAAUGCAAAUAAUUGUUUCCCUUUUUUGUGGUCGAAGGAUAUAAUUCAUUUGUUGCAUAGUUCUAAUUUAGAUCUUUCAGUUAAUGGUAAAUAAAUCCUUGGUCCUUUUGCGAUGAUAUUGUAAAGACGCAGAAAAUAUGGUUAAUAAAUAUGGUUACGAAAACAUUCACCUCACAUAUUAAAUCAUCAAAACAUUUUUUUUUUAAAUGUAACAGUUCGGAAUGCAUGGAUUUCUUAAUUGAUAUUAAAUAUUCAGUGAGAUUCCGAUUCUCAGUGCGGCAGUGCCACCCUGAGUCGGGCCUUCCAUUAGCCAGUAUAAUGUGGAUUAUGACGCCUCCUUGUGGUGAUAAAGUGCAAUGAAUAACUGUACGUAUAGGUGUUAGGUAAAAGAUUUGUUUUUAAAGGGGAAUAGUAAAUAUCAAGAGCGGUAAAGCUUUUCAUCGACGGACUAUCAUUAUGCUUCAUUUAUUGCUAAAGACUGCAAUGUCAUUAUUGAUUUAUUUAUAAUACUGUCGCCGAUUAUUCCGUCGAAAAUUCAGUGGCACAGAGAGCGAAUGGGAUCAUUUUUAGUUAUUGAUACAGUAAUCAGAAACGGUACAAAAUUUAAAUGAAAAGGCGAAAAUGUACCCCUUUUACACCCCAUAGCUUUCUUUUAAUAUUGGAAAGUAACGUUUGGGUAGAAGGGAUUAGUUUGUAACGUUUACAUGUUAGGUUUUCUACAAACGUUGUAUUUCACUACACAGUGUAUUUUUACAUAUAUAACGACAC